UUUCGUGUUUUUGAACAGAUGUGCUGCUGGAUGUUUGAACGGUCAGGCUCAUUUGUCAUUUUUUUUCUUUUUCUUUUUUUUGUCACAUUGGGGUUUGACGGUGCGCCAUGGUGGGGAGGGGGAAGCUACCACCACUGUGGUGGAACCCAUUGGCCCAGGCUCAUUUGUCUUUCAUCUCUGUUUAUAUCAUUAUCUUCUAAACUUUUGAUGCAUGAAUUAAUGGAAGAGAAAAACCUCAUGCAAUUUCCAUUCUUGGCGUAAGAAGCACAUGACAUGCCUCCAAAUGCUUAUCUACAUCUUCUCAAGCAUCUUUGUCAAUUCCCCACAGGAAUUCACUAAGACCAAUGCAAGUGCAAGACCAUUCAACACUAACUCCAUCCAACAAGCUAUAAUAAUAGCCUACAUACAUACAUUACAAAGUAGAAUGCUUAAAGCUAACAACUAUUACCAUUUCUUUCAGAUUUCAACAAGGCCUGCAUCCAUUGCAGUAGUUUAUGUAAACAGGGCAUGCCAACCAGAUUUAUACAUGACCA
This 533-nucleotide long non-coding RNA is filed under the name Prunus persica (peach). RNAcentral's name for it is "long non-coding RNA (PPER_LNC001371)". Lineage: Eukaryota; Viridiplantae; Streptophyta; Magnoliopsida; Rosales; Rosaceae. The record is from RNAcentral.